This 505-nucleotide ribosomal RNA is filed under the name uncultured bacterium. RNAcentral describes it as "partial 16S ribosomal RNA". It matches the Rfam family "Bacterial small subunit ribosomal RNA", at positions 28 to 507 of the family's 1533-position model. The record is from RNAcentral.
GACGAACGCUGGCGGCGUGCCUAAUACAUGCAAGUAGAACGCACAGUUUAUACCGUAGCUUGCUACACCAUAGACUGUGAGUUGCGAACGGGUGAGUAACGCGUAGGUAACCUGCCUGGUAGCGGGGGAUAACUAUUGGAAACGAUAGCUAAUACCGCAUAAUAUUAAUUAUUGCAUGAUAAUUGAUUGAAAGAUGCAACUGCAUCACUACCAGAUGGACCUGCGUUGUAUUAGCUAGUAGGUGAGGUAACGGCUCACCUAGGCGACGAUACAUAGCCGACCUGAGAGGGGGAUCGGCCACACUGGGACUGAGACACGGCCCAGACUCCCACGGGAGGCAGCAGUAGGGAAUCUUCGGCAAUGGACGAAAGUCUGACCGAGCAACGCCGCGGGAGUGAAGAAGGUUUUCGGAUCGUAAAGCUCUGUUGUAAGAGAAGAACGGGGGUGAGAGUGGAAAGUUCACACUGUGACGGUAUCUUACCAGAAAGGGACGGCUAACUACGUG